AUGCUAUGCACAAGGCUUCACAUUCCUCUUGAGUUUCAAAUCUGUUCUUGUUGCCUCCACAGCCGCCAUACCAGAAUGGACUGCAGACUUUCUGCUCUUUGUCAUAAUACCACUUCAGAUCGUAAUCUUGACACUCUCCUCCAUCAUGAUCCACUGCACAAGCAUCUAAAAAAGCCUAUUGCAUAAUAUAAAGAAAAUCUGCAAUGAAAUACACACAGCUAGAUGGAAAGUGAAAGGUUAUCAUUGGCAGGGUAUGAUGAGCCUCUGUUUGGAUGGGGACAUACCUGAUGGAUGACUCAGUCCCUUGUGCAAGAAC
RNAcentral lists this long non-coding RNA (316 nucleotides) under Chrysemys picta bellii (western painted turtle). RNAcentral's name for it is "lncRNA (ENSCPBG00000022823.1)". The record is from RNAcentral. Lineage: Eukaryota; Metazoa; Chordata; Testudines; Emydidae.